Molecule: ribosomal RNA, 492 nt
Filed under: uncultured bacterium
Lineage: Bacteria
Description: partial 16S ribosomal RNA
Rfam family: Bacterial small subunit ribosomal RNA
Source: RNAcentral
AGUGAACGCUGGCGGUAGGCCUAACACAUGCAAGUCGAACGGCAGCACAGUAAGAGCUUGCUCUUACGGGUGGCGAGUGGCGGACGGGUGAGGAAUACAUCGGAAUCUACUUUUUCGUGGGGGAUAACGUAGGGAAACUUACGCUAAUACCGCAUACGACCUUCGGGUGAAAGCAGGGGAUCUUCGCACCUUGCGCGAUUGAAUGAGCCGAUGUCGGAUUGGCUAGUUGGCGGGGUAAAGGCCCACCCAGGCGACGAUCCGUAGCUGGUCUGAGAGGAUGAUCAGCCACACUGGAACUGAGACACGGACCAGAGUCCUACGGGAGGCAGCAGUGGGGAAUAUUGGACAAUGGGCGCAAGCCUGAUCCAGCCAUACCGCGUGGGUGAAGAAGGCCUUCGGGUUGUAAAGCCCUUUUGUUGGGAAAGAAAAGCAGCAGGUUAAUACCCCGCUGUUCUGACGGUACCCAAAGAAUAAGCACCGGCUAACUUCGUG